This 497-nucleotide ribosomal RNA is filed under the name uncultured bacterium. RNAcentral describes it as "partial 16S ribosomal RNA". It matches the Rfam family "Bacterial small subunit ribosomal RNA", at positions 28 to 507 of the family's 1533-position model. The record is from RNAcentral.
GAUGAACGCUGGCGGCGUGCCUAAUACAUGCAAGUCGAGCGAACGGACGAGAAGCUUGCUUCUCUGAUGUUAGCGGCGGACGGGUGAGUAACACGUGGAUAACCUACCUAUAAGACUGGGAUAACUUCGGGAAACCGGAGCUAAUACCGGUUAAUAUUUUGAACCGCAUGGUUCAACAGUGAAAGACGGUCUUGCUGUCACUUAUAGAUGGAACCUGGCUGCAUUAGCUAGUUGGUAAGGUAACGGCUUACCAAGGCGACGAUGCGUAGCCGACCUGAGAGGAUGAUCAGUCACACUGGAACUGAGACACGGUCCAGACUCCUACGGGAGGCAGCAGUGGGGAAUAUUGCGCAAUGGGCGAAAGCCUGACGGAGCCACGCCGCGUGAGUGAAGAAGGUCUUCGGAUUGUAAAACUCUGUUAUUAGGGAAGAACAUAUGUGUAAGUAACUGUGCCCGUCUUGACGUUACCUAAUCAGAAAGCCACGGCUAACUACGUG